CCGAAAGGCGUAGUCGAUGGGAAACGGGUUAAUAUUCCCGUACUUGGUGUUACUGCGAAGGGGGGACGGAGAAGGCUAUGUUGGCCGGGCGACGGUUGUCCCGGUUUAAGCGUGUAGGUGUGUGUUCCAGGUAAAUCCGGUUCACUUUAACACUGAGGCGUGACGACGAGGCACUACGGUGCUGAAGCAACAAAUGCCCUGCUUCCAGGAAAAGCCUCUAAGCAUCAGGUAACAUCAAAUCGUACCCCAAACCGACACAGGUGGUCAGGUAGAGAAUACCAAGGCGCUUGAGAGAACUCGGGUGAAGGAACUAGGCAAAAUGGUGCCGUAACUUCGGGAGAAGGCACGCUGACAC
RNAcentral lists this ribosomal RNA (355 nucleotides) under Salmonella enterica. RNAcentral's name for it is "partial 23S ribosomal RNA". It matches the Rfam family "Bacterial large subunit ribosomal RNA", at positions 1402 to 1757 of the family's 2925-position model. Lineage: Bacteria; Pseudomonadati; Pseudomonadota; Gammaproteobacteria; Enterobacterales; Enterobacteriaceae. The record is from RNAcentral. RNAcentral also lists the same sequence under 1 other name.